This is a non-coding RNA of Arachis ipaensis, 785 nucleotides long. The record is from RefSeq and is a predicted model, not a curated record. NCBI's taxonomy places the organism in Eukaryota, Viridiplantae, Streptophyta, Magnoliopsida, Fabales, Fabaceae.
UGAAAUGGUGAAAUAAUUUGCAGCCUCCUGGGAUUCUCCCAAACUCACUCGAUCAUGCUCAAACCUGGAAAGAAGGGAUGUUCUCGGUAAUACAAUUCAUCAAUUCCCAGAUUCAAAGUCGCAAUCUUUCGAGAAUUUACAGGAACUUACAGCAGGUAAAGUGGCUGCUAAUCUUGAAAGCCCCAGGUCUGUGAUGACUCACUGCAGUGCUGAUAGAGUUAUGUUGAGAAGGCAUUCCUCAAGCCAAGUUCUUCCUUCUGGAAGUAAGAGAUUCUGGUGGAAGAUGUUUGUCUGGAGCCAUAGGAACAUACAUAGACCUAUUUCAAGCAAAUCAACACAGGUGAAUCCUGGUGUGGCUGUAACGCACAAUCCAUACGGAUACUCUUCCGACACCCUUGAACCGAAGCACAAGCAGUCACCAGGAAAUGUGGAAUGAAGAUAGACGAGAGGAUAUUUCGGUUGAGUAAGAACAAGGCUUCUUCGAAAUCUGCAGCUGAUACAAGAUUUGAGUUCUGAUUCUCUCAUUUUAAGGCUCUUCAGGUACCCAAGGGAUGGGAAGCUCUUUGUUUCUGUUGUUUCGGUAGAAAGUGGUAAAGCUAUUGCAAAGUCAAGCAAGGUGCUGUUGCAAAAUGGGAGUUGUCAGUGGUCAGAUAAACACAUUGAAAUUAUAAACACAUAAUAAAGUCAUAAAAAAGUUAAUUACAAUUAAAGACUUUGUUGGCAUUAUCCAUUGAAGCUGUACUCUCUGAUUUUUUACAAUGAAGCAAAGCUACAGAUUUGUACUU